ACGGAGGAUCCGAGCGUUAUCCGGAUUUAUUGGGUUUAAAGGGUGCGUAGGUGGUUUAAUAAGUCAGCGGUGAAAGUUUGCAGCUUAACUGUAAAAAUGCCGUUGAAACUGUUAGACUUGAGUGUAAAUGAGGUAGGCGGAAUGCGUGGUGUAGCGGUGAAAUGCUUAGAUAUCACGCAGAACUCCGAUUGCGAAGGCAUCUUACCAAGCUACAACUGACACUGAAGCACGAAAGCGUGGAGAUGGAACAG
Molecule: ribosomal RNA, 251 nt
Filed under: uncultured prokaryote
Description: partial 16S rRNA
Rfam family: Bacterial small subunit ribosomal RNA
Source: RNAcentral